AAACGAUUGAAGUCAGUCGUGCUCUUUGGAUUCAGCCGGUUCUGCCGGUGUACUUCCUUUGAGUGGGGUCAACAUCAGUUUUGAUCGCUGGAUAAAGGCUGGAGGAACGUAGUACCCUCGGGUAAACUUAUAGCCUCCUGUCACAUACAGUGGUUGGGACUGAGGAACGCAGCACGCCUUUAUGGCCGGGAUUCGUCCACGUACGUGCUUAGGAUGUUGACAUAAUGGCUUUAAACGA
Molecule: ribosomal RNA, 238 nt
Filed under: Filobasidium sp.
Lineage: Eukaryota; Fungi; Basidiomycota; Tremellomycetes; Filobasidiales; Filobasidiaceae
Description: partial large subunit ribosomal RNA
Source: RNAcentral